GUAGGUGAACCUGCGGAGGGAUCAUUAACACGUUUAAACAACGUUUAUUAUACCAACCAACCGCGUGAAUUCAACUGAAUUAUACCCGACUUGAAAGAGAGAGAAACUGUCUAUUUACACGGAGUGAUGAGUGUGUUUGAAUUUUACAUGUGAAAGCAUGUAGCUUGAAACAUACGGUGUAUCUAGGCUUGUAAUGCUUCGACAUUACGGGAUUAUUUCUCUUUCAAGCUAUCAACAACUCCAAUGUUCC
RNAcentral lists this unclassified non-coding RNA (250 nucleotides) under plant metagenome. Its description in RNAcentral is "partial contains small subunit ribosomal RNA, internal transcribed spacer 1, and 5.8S ribosomal RNA". The record is from RNAcentral.